This 468-nucleotide ribosomal RNA is filed under the name uncultured bacterium. Its description in RNAcentral is "partial 16S ribosomal RNA". It matches the Rfam family "Bacterial small subunit ribosomal RNA", at positions 28 to 507 of the family's 1533-position model. The record is from RNAcentral.
GACGAACGCUGGCGGCGUGCUUAACACAUGCAAGUCGAACGGAAAGGCCCUGCUUUUGUGGGGUGCUCGAGUGGCGAACGGGUGAGUAACACGUGAGUAACCUGCCCUUGACUUUGGGAUAACUUCAGGAAACUGGGGCUAAUACCGGAUAGGAGCUCCUGCUGCAUGGUGGGGGUUGGAAAGUUUCGGCGGUUGGGGAUGGACUCGCGGCUUAUCAGCUUGUUGGUGGGGUAGUGGCUUACCAAGGCUUUGACGGGUAGCCGGCCUGAGAGGGUGACCGGCCACAUUGGGACUGAGAUACGGCCCAGACUCCUACGGGAGGCAGCAGUGGGGAAUAUUGCACAAUGGGCGGAAGCCAGAUGCAGCAACGCCGCGUGCGGGAUGACGGCCUUCGGGUUGUAAACCGCUUUCGCCUGUGACGAAGCGUGAGUGACGGUAAUGGGUAAAGAAGCGCCGGCUAACUACGUG